AAGGCGGCAGCCGAAAAGCCAUAACAGAGUAGGCA
This 35-nucleotide non-coding RNA is filed under the name unclassified sequences. Its description in RNAcentral is "DUF805b RNA". It matches the Rfam family "DUF805b RNA". Rfam says of the family: Bacteroidetes, Chlorobi (1 example), Proteobacteria. The record is from RNAcentral.